Molecule: long non-coding RNA, 188 nt
Organism: Phyllostomus discolor (pale spear-nosed bat)
Lineage: Eukaryota; Metazoa; Chordata; Mammalia; Chiroptera; Phyllostomidae
Exons: 3
Source: RefSeq, a predicted model, not a curated record
ACCUUUUAUUAUACCAUUAUAAGCAUGCCAUUCUGUAACAUAACAAUAUCACACUGAGGCACACCAUAGGACAUUUUUGGUGAGAUGUUCAAAUGAAAACUAUAAAUUUUUAUACCCAUGGUAUUACCCUACCAACCGCACUCACGUAGGCAUUACUUCUGCCAGACCCUGUAUUUGUAACGAUAUAU